RNAcentral lists this small RNA (69 nucleotides) under Streptomyces sp. MUSC 125. RNAcentral's name for it is "ASpks sRNA". Lineage: Bacteria; Bacillati; Actinomycetota; Actinomycetes; Kitasatosporales; Streptomycetaceae. The record is from RNAcentral.
CUUCACCGACCCCAGCCACAACGGGCGAUCACGAUCAGCACCGUAAGCAGCCAACAGCGCCUGCGCCUC